GCUUCUCUUCAUUCUUACCUAGUGCUGGGCAUGAUGUCGCCUAAACCCACCUGCUGUGUAUGAUCAUCCCAGCUGAUCCAGGCUCUAUACACCGCUUACUGAUUUCCUGGGGAGGUUGUAGGUUUGAACUUGCAAGCGCCUUACAGAAGCACAAAUAUGGGGAAAAAAUACAGUGCAAAGGGGUGACACAUGUCAUACAGUAAAGUGACAGUGUGGUCUCGGACCUCCCACCUAAGUCCAAGCAGCGCUCCCUCAUUUGUGAUGUCACUGAGAGGCUCACCUCACAGUCCUACUAGAAGCCCAUGAUGAUUCUUCACAAGCUGUUCUCACCGUCUCUGUAGCACGGAUUCUGUAGCCACUACCACUGGAAAGAGAGUGCAGAGAGAGCACUUAACCUUGACAUCAAGAUGUCUUGCCAAUACAGAUCCUUGGCAUCUCUAAGGUAAGGUGUAAGUCUUAAGCCACAUUUUACUCCAGUACACUAACCAAUGCGUGGCAAAUCUUAUGAGAAAUACCCAGGGAGUCCUGGAACAUGACUCUGACCCAGCUGACUGUCCUACCACAAUCCCUCAAAGUCACAGCAGAGAGUUCAAGAAAAAGCUUGAGAAAGAUACAAAAGAUUAAGAAUGUCAUGGUGUAUCUGGAGGUAAUUUAGUGCAAAAUACCAAUAUUAAUCCAAAAGAAAAGAACAAAGCUUGACUUCAAAAGCACCCACACUUUCAGAGUCCAUUGGAGAAAUGAACUGGAUAACUAUAAGACAGUCUUUCUCUUUAUUUCCAGGAAACAUUACUAGAAUUAAAUCACGGUCUCCUAAUGAUAAACCCAGACCA
Molecule: non-coding RNA, 830 nt
Organism: Coturnix japonica (Japanese quail)
Lineage: Eukaryota; Metazoa; Chordata; Aves; Galliformes; Phasianidae
Source: RefSeq, a predicted model, not a curated record